This 385-nucleotide long non-coding RNA is filed under the name Homo sapiens (human). RNAcentral describes it as "HSALNT0331483". The record is from RNAcentral. Lineage: Eukaryota; Metazoa; Chordata; Mammalia; Primates; Hominidae.
ACACAUGGAUUAACUCACAGUUUCAUAAGACCUUGGGAAAGGAGAAAAUCAAAGGAGCUGUCUUUCCCUAAUUUGGACGGAGAGUUGGUGAAAAAUGGCACCUGCUCCAAGCCAUAAUAUCUGGAAUGUGUGGCCUUCAGAAUUGCCACUGUAGAGAAGAGAAGGCUGGAAGACCCCAUGGGAUGCUUUAAGGGCUAGGCCCAGAAGUGCAAUUACGUCAUUUACAACCACCUCUCUUUGGCCAGAACCAGGUCACACAGCUCCGUUCUAACUGCAAAGGAGGCCAGGGCUUAGAAGAUCUCGUGGAUAUUUGGUGAAUACUGGCAGUCUUGCCAUAGUCAGGAAACUUCAAAAAGGGGAAAAGAUGCCCUAUGGCCACACUCCA